UACGGGGGGGGCAAGCGUUGUUCGGAAUUACUGGGCGUAAAGGGCGCGUAGGUGGCCAACUAAGUCAGACGUGAAAUCCCUCGGCUUAACCGGGGAACUGCGUCUGAUACUGGAUGGCUUGAGUUUGGGAGAGGGACGCGGAAUUCCAGGUGUAGCGGUGAAAUGCGUAGAUAUCUGGAGGAACAUCAGUUGCGAAGGCGGCUCUCUGGACCAGCACUGACACUGAGGCGCGAAAGCUAGGGGAGCAAACGGG
Molecule: ribosomal RNA, 253 nt
Filed under: uncultured bacterium
Lineage: Bacteria
Description: partial 16S ribosomal RNA
Rfam family: Bacterial small subunit ribosomal RNA
Source: RNAcentral